GACGAACGCUGGCGGCGUGCCUAAUACAUGCAAUUCGAACGCAGUGGGGACGGGUGAGUAAAACGUUGGUAACCUCCCAUCAGAGGGGAUAACACUUGGAAACAGGUGCUAAACCGAUACUGAUGGAUGGACCCGCGGUGCAUUAGGUAGUUGGUGAGGUAACGGCCCACCAAGGCCACGAUGCAUAGCCGAGCGGAGAGGGGGAGCGGCCAAAAUGGGACUGAGACACGGCCCAGACUCCUACGGGAGGCAGCAGUAGGGAAUCUUCGGCAAUGGACGAAAGGCUGACCGAGCAACGCCGCGUGAGUGAAGAAGGUUUUCGGAUCGGAAAGCUCUGUUGUUAAGGAAGCGGUACUUAACCAGAAAGGGACGGCUAACUACGUGCCAGCAGCCGCGGUAAUAC
RNAcentral lists this ribosomal RNA (403 nucleotides) under uncultured bacterium. RNAcentral describes it as "partial 16S ribosomal RNA". It matches the Rfam family "Bacterial small subunit ribosomal RNA", at positions 28 to 526 of the family's 1533-position model. The record is from RNAcentral.